AGCCGGUUUGGUCAGUCCUCCGGGAAAUCUGACAGCUCAACUGUUAGGCUUUCGGGGGAUACUGCCAGACUUGGAACCGGGAGAGGUAAGAGGUACUACAGGGGUAGGAGUGAAAUCUUGUAAUCCCUGUGGGACCACCUGUGGCGAAGGUGUCUUACCAGAACGGGUUCGACGGUGAGGGACGAAAGCUGGGGGCACGAACCGGAUUAGAUACCCGGGUAGUCCCAGCCGUAAACGAUGCUCGCUAGGUGUCAGGCAUGGCGCGACCGUGUCUGGUGCCGCAGGGAAGCCGUGAAGCGAGCCACCUGGGAAGUACGGCCGCAAGGCUGAAACUUAAAGGAAUUGGCGGGGGAGCACAACAACGGGUGGAGCCUGCGGUUUAAUUGGACUCAACGCCGGACAACUCACCGGGGGCGACAGUAAUAUGUAGGCCAAGCUGAAGACUUUGCCUGAAUCGCUGAGAGGAGGUGCAUGGCCGUCGCCAGUUCGUACUGUGAAGCAUCCUGUUAAGUCAGGCAACGAGCGAGACCCGUGCCCACUGUUACCAGCAUGUCCUUCGGGAUGAUGGGUACUCUGUGGGGACCGCCGGUGUCAAAUCGGAGGAAGGUACGGGCCACGGU
Molecule: ribosomal RNA, 620 nt
Filed under: uncultured Methanosarcina sp.
Lineage: Archaea; Methanobacteriati; Methanobacteriota; Methanomicrobia; Methanosarcinales; Methanosarcinaceae
Description: bacterial SSU rRNA
Rfam family: Archaeal small subunit ribosomal RNA
Source: RNAcentral